CCACAGCAAUGACGUCAUGUGCAAACAACCAAUUACAGUCUUGACCCGCCCAUCUUGUUACCUGAUUAUUGGUUCAGUUGCUGCACCUGUUGUUCCUUCAUUACCUUCCUUGUUUGCUCCCUAUUUAUUCUCCUUGUGUUUGCAGUCCUGUGUCAGUUUGUUGUCAAAUGUGUGUGUUGCUCCCUGCCCUGCCCGGUUUCCCCUUGGGGUAGUUUUUGUUUUGUUUUAUAAAUAAAGGGCCCAGACUUUCUGCAACUGAGUUCUCACUUCAUCUCUUCACCCAACCCUGACAAAAACUAAAACCAUUAAAACAUAAAUUAGCUUUUGAGGUAAAGCUAAAAUCAAAUAUUUUUAAAUAUAUAUAUAUAUAAGUGAUUUAUUUGAUGGCAUGUGUGAAGCUCAUUUGUGGAGUGGACAGGCAAUGACCCCUCAAAUCACACCAAAUGAUUAAUAUGAGCUGAAUAAACAGAGCAGCGAUGGCUGAUGUACACACUGUGAACUCAGGAAUAUGGUGUGUUACAGAUGAACAGCGAGGCAAACAGAGGGACGUGUGGAACAGACUGUGGAUGAGGACGUCAAUACCGAGACCACACAUCCAUUUGUUUAUCUGCAAUAUCUUCCUUUUGUAUAGACUGAUACUUUUUAUGGAGAACCUUAAAACUGUUCUUGCGUAUCAUGGGAAAAAUGUAUUGGGAUUCUGCUCAAUUUCAUAAUCAGUUUAGUUGUUGUUGUAUAAUCAAACUGUCGUGUUUAAAAAAAAAAAAGAAAAAGAAAAGAAAAAGAAAAGUGUAUUACUUGGAAUUUUUAAAUGAGACCAAAGUGUUUUUGUGUUUAACACGCAUUAUACUGUAUAUGUGACCCUGGAGCACAAAACCAGUCAUAAAGGUCAAUUUUUUUUUUUUUUUUUUUUUUUUGAAAUUGAGAUUUAUACAUCAUCUGAAAGCUGAAUAAAUAAGCUUUCCAUUUAUGUAUUUUGUUAGGUUUGUUAGGAUAGGACAAUAUUUGGCUGAGAUAGAACUAUUUGAAAAUCUGGAAUCUAAGGGUGCAAAAAAAAAAAAAAAAAAAUAAUAAUCUAAAUAUUGAGAAAAUCACCUUUAAAGUUGUCCAAAUGAAGAUCUUAGCAAUGCAUAUUACUAAUCAAAAAUUACGUUUUAAUAUAUUUACAGUAGGGAAUUUACAAAAUAUAUUCAUGGAACAUGAUCUUUAAUUAAUAUCAUAAUAUUUUUUGGCAUAAAAUAAAAAUCAAUAAGUUUGACCCAUACAAUGUAUUUUUGGCUAUUGCUACAAAUAUACCCCAGCGACUCAAGACUGCUUCUGUGCUCCAGGGACACAUAUAGGAAACCAUUAUAUAUUAAAUUCAGUGGCACCAAAAAGUAUUUGGGCAUUUAAGUUACAUUUAAGGUUGCUUAUUUAUGUAUGUGUGUGUGUGUGUGUGUGCGUGUAUACACAUUCAAUCUCAGAUGACAUUCUAACAUUCAUGAUUACAGCAAGAUUACAGUGUCUUCCAACGAAGUAUAAUUUGGCAACAUGGUAUCCAUCAAAGCAUGAACACUACUGUAUAUUACAUCCAACUCAGCAGGAAAAUGAAACGGUUGCUCAUAUACUAAAUGGAUGCUACAAUUAUUAGAAUCAUGUCUAGGGCCA
Molecule: long non-coding RNA, 1644 nt
Organism: Cyprinus carpio carpio
Lineage: Eukaryota; Metazoa; Chordata; Actinopteri; Cypriniformes; Cyprinidae
Source: Ensembl